GCGGGUGUAGCUUAGUGGUAAAGCUCCAGAUUUCCAAUCUGAUUACGAGAGUUCGAUUCUCUUCACCCGCUCCA
RNAcentral lists this transfer RNA (74 nucleotides) under Candidatus Pelagibacteraceae bacterium. RNAcentral describes it as "tRNA-Gly". It matches the Rfam family "tRNA". Rfam says of the family: Transfer RNA (tRNA) molecules are approximately 80 nucleotides in length. Their secondary structure includes four short double-helical elements and three loops (D, anti-codon, and T loops). Further hydrogen bonds mediate the characteristic L-shaped molecular structure. tRNAs have two regions of fundamental functional importance: the anti-codon, which is responsible for specific mRNA codon recognition, and the 3' end, to which the tRNAs corresponding amino acid is attached (by aminoacyl-tRNA synthetases). tRNAs cope with the degeneracy of the genetic code in two manners: having more than one tRNA (with a specific anti-codon) for a particular amino acid; and 'wobble' base-pairing, i.e. permitting non-standard base-pairing at the 3rd anti-codon position. RNAcentral also lists the same sequence under 1 other name. The record is from RNAcentral. Lineage: Bacteria; Pseudomonadati; Pseudomonadota; Alphaproteobacteria; Candidatus Pelagibacterales; Candidatus Pelagibacteraceae.